AAGAUAUAAGUCAUCCACCAAUGAUGUGUGUGAAAGUGAGUCAACUUAUUAUGACAAAGAUUCGAAUGAAGACAUGGGGCUUUUUGUUAGGAGGUACAACCGAUACCUUAGAAAAAAUUAAGUCCAACAUUCAGACAAAAAUCUUGUCAACUAUAGAGGGCAAUCAAAAUUUCUGAAUUGGGAGGAAGGCAAGACAAACAAGUCAAAAGGAUCAUGCUUCAGUUGCGGAAAGACCGAUCACUAUAAAUCAGAGUGUCCCUUAUUGAAGAAA
This 271-nucleotide long non-coding RNA is filed under the name Lathyrus oleraceus (garden pea). Its description in RNAcentral is "Pisum sativum (pea) long non-coding RNA (PSAT_LNC004041)". Lineage: Eukaryota; Viridiplantae; Streptophyta; Magnoliopsida; Fabales; Fabaceae. The record is from RNAcentral.